CAUUAGGUAGCUUAAAGCAAGCAAUGGUCUCUUAAACCAUUUAAUAAUAAUUAGCGUCUAUUUCUAAUGG
This 70-nucleotide transfer RNA is filed under the name Episcapha fortunii. Its description in RNAcentral is "tRNA-Lys". It matches the Rfam family "tRNA". From Rfam's summary of the family: Transfer RNA (tRNA) molecules are approximately 80 nucleotides in length. Their secondary structure includes four short double-helical elements and three loops (D, anti-codon, and T loops). The record is from RNAcentral. Lineage: Eukaryota; Metazoa; Arthropoda; Insecta; Coleoptera; Erotylidae.